Molecule: RNA transcript, 3109 nt
Organism: Neopelma chrysocephalum (saffron-crested tyrant-manakin)
Lineage: Eukaryota; Metazoa; Chordata; Aves; Passeriformes; Pipridae
Gene: MCOLN3
Gene name: mucolipin 3
Exons: 14
Source: RefSeq, a predicted model, not a curated record
AGACCGUUUUCUUUGAAGUCCAGUUAAUAACUUUAAUAGCUUAAUUGUGUAUAAGUGGAAUGACUUAGGCAUGUCAGCCAUUCCACUCAGUUCACUGUACCACUAGCUGCCCUUCAUAACUACGGUUCUGUGACCUGAAAUGGUUUUUAUUCGUUUAUUUUGUUUUGGUUUGUUUUUUGUGAUGGGUGGGACACAGCUAUUUAUAACAUGAACAUUAACUUCAUUUUCCCUGGUGCAGAAGCCUAGGUCAAUAAAUCUGGAGUCGGCACUACCAUCCUAUAGAGAAAGUGUGUGUUAUAGCGCUGAGAGGCGCCCGUCACGUGCGGCAGGAGGGAGAUGCGCAGCCGAAGGUGACAGGCGCCGCGUGUGCCGGUGUGCACAGCACAGCACAGCACAGCCCAGCCCCCCACAGCCCGGUACAGCCCCGCACAGCCCCGCACAGAGGCUGGGGCGGGCUGGCGGAGGCCGCGGCCCCUCCGUCCAUCCAAGCGGAGCCGCGCUGGCCGGGAGGGUGCGGACACCGGGCUGCGGACACCGCGCUCACGGUCCCAGCGCGGCGGCAGCACCCCCGGGGCCCGGGUGGCAGAAAUGGAAAAUCCUGAAGUGGUCGUGAGCAGCUGCGGUUCUCAUGAUGCUGAAAAUGUUUGCAGCUACAAACGGCAACCAUCAAUAUCACAGGAGGGACUUUUGGAAGACCAGCUUAGAAGGAAGUUAAAAUUUUUCUUCAUGAACCCAUGUGAGAAAUUCUGGGCCCGGGGCAGAAAGCCUUGGAAACUUGGGAUUCAGUUACUCAAAAUAGUAAUGGUUACAGUUCAGCUGGUGGUUUUUGGAUUGAGCAAUCAAAUGGUGGUUGCCUUCAAAGAAGAGAACACUAUUGCGUUCAAACACCUCUUCUUGAAAGGAUACAUGGACAGAAUGGAUGAUACCUAUGCUGUAUACACACAAACAGAUGUCUAUGACCAGAUAUUCUUUGCAAUAAACCAGUACUUACAGCUGCCCAACAUCUCUGUUGGAAAUCAUGCUUAUGAGAAGAGGGGAGCAGAGGAGACAGCUCUGGCCAUUUGUCAGCAGUUCUACAAGCGAGGAAUCAUCUGUCCUGGAAAUGACACCUUUGAUAUAGACCCAGAGAUUGUGACUGACUGCUUGUACAUUGAGCCAAUGACACCGUUAGACAACACAACAGUGGGAAAGCACAAUUUGAAUUUCACUCUGGAUUUCCACAGACUGGUGACCGUGCAGCUCACGUUCAAUCUGAAGGCAAUCAACCUCCAGACCGUUCGGCACCACGAGCUCCCUGAUUGUUACGAUUUCACUUUGAGGAUAGUGUUUGAUAAUAAAGCACAUAGUGGAAGAAUUAAAAUAAGUCUCGACAACGACAUAGCGAUCAGGGAAUGUAAAGACUGGCAUGUUUCUGGAUCAAUACAGAAGAACACUCAUUACAUGAUGAUAUUCGAUGCUUUUGUCAUAUUGACUUGUCUGGCCUCAUUGAUCCUUUGCACACGAUCAGUGAUUAAAGGAAUUCGGCUUCAAAGGGAAUUUGUAAGCUUUUUCCUAUAUUAUUAUAAGAAAGAAGUGUCUUUCAGUGAUCAAAUGGAAUUUGUCAAUGGAUGGUACAUCCUUAUUAUGGUUAGUGACAUCUUAACUAUUGUUGGAUCAACUCUAAAGAUGGAGAUACAAGCCAAGAGUCUGACAAGUUAUGAUGUCUGUAGCAUACUCCUAGGAACAUCCACUAUGCUUGUAUGGCUUGGAGUCAUUCGCUACCUAGGUUUCUUUCAGAAGUAUAAUGUAAGGAUCUCCUGGGAUCUUCGUACUGUUGCUUCUCAUCCUAACCCUGCGAGCAGCACUACCCAAUGUAAUGAGGUUCUGCUGUUGUGCUGCUAUGAUCUAUCUGGGCUAUUGUUUCUGUGGAUGGAUUGUACUGGGACCAUACCAUGUGAAGUUUCGCUCUCUGAACACAGUUUCUGAAUGCCUUUUCUCAUUGAUCAAUGGAGAUGACAUGUUUGCCACCUUUGCAAAAAUGCAGCAGAAAAGUUUCUUAGUUUGGUUAUUCAGCAGGAUCUACCUCUACUCCUUCAUCAGUCUGUUCAUCUAUAUGGUGUUGAGUCUCUUCAUUGCACUCAUUACAGAUACGUAUGAAACAGUCAAGCACUACCAGCAAGAUGGCUUUCCAGAGACAGAACUUCGGAGAUUUAUAUCACAGUGCAAAGACUUACCAAACUCUGGCAGGUACAGGUUAGAGGAGGAGAGUUCUCCAUCUCUCUUCUGUUGUUGUAAUGGUUGUAGUGAACAUAUUUAAUGGAUUGUGGGAGUUUAUCACAGAGGCAUUAAAGUAGCACACAUUGGAAGAACUGGACAACAGAUCUGGUGGAAAACCUUAUAUCUAAAGCCUGAAUUUGCUUUUCUUGAGAAACAGUGUAAGCCUGUGCCAGAAGCUUAUGCUAAACUUACAGACUUUUUGAUUAGACACUCACUGCUAAUUCAGGGGGUUUGGGUGUUUGUUUUUAUUAGCUUUAUUCUAUUUGUUUUCUCAGUUAAAUUGUGCUAGAAUGCAAAGGGCAUCAAAAAGCUGUCUGUGUUCAGAGUCUUGGCUAGGUUAUAAGGGUAGACCAGAAAUGUAGUAACUUUCAACUAUUAACUAGAACUAGUGUUGGACAACUGCAGCUUUGAACACCAACCUAACCCUCAGUACUGCUGCCAUUAUCUGUCCAUGGUUGACCUGUUACUGAAUGAAUGAAAGCUCACUCUAUAGCCCUCAGAAUUUUUUGUUUAUUUGCACUCAUAGUAAAAAUAAAAACUAUGAAAUUUGGUGUAAUUUUUUUCUGGAGUCAUUACAGUGAGUUGAUACACAAACCAUUCAAAUAUAGCUGAAAGCAUAAAAUCAAUAUUUCCUUAAACAGAAGUACCACCUGAUGUGAGUGGCAGUCUCUUCUCAGAGAGGCCAGGGAUAUGCCAGGCUGAACUGGAAUUUGAGGGGUGAGUAGAGUGGAGAAAUGUAGAUGUUCUCCUGUAUCCAGCACUCGGUAGGAUCAGUGACAGCCUUUGACUUUACAGUGUGUGGACCUUUCAAAUUAUCUAUUUUUUUACUUUGAAAUCUUCCUCUGGUUUACAA